UGGGGAAUAUUGGACAAUGGGCGAAAGCCUGAUCCAGCCAUGCCGCGUGUGUGAAGAAGGUCUUCGGAUUGUAAAGCACUUUAAGUUGGGAGGAAGGGCAUUAACCUAAUACGUUAGUGUCUUGACGUUACCGACAGAAUAAGCACCGGCUAACUCUGUGCCAGCAGCCGCGGUAAUACAGAGGGUGCAAGCGUUAAUCGGACUUACUGGGCGUAAAGCGCGCGUAGGUGGUUUGUUAAGUUGAAUGUGAAAUCCCCGGGCUCAACCUGGGAACUGCAUCCAAAACUGGCAAGCUAGAGUAUGGUAGAGGGUAGUGGAAUUUCCUGUGUAGCGGUGAAAUGCGUAGAUAUAGGAAGGAACACCAGUGGCGAAGGCGACUACCUGGACUGAUACUGACACUGAGGUGCGAAAGCGUGGGGAGCAAACA
Molecule: ribosomal RNA, 427 nt
Filed under: uncultured bacterium
Lineage: Bacteria
Description: partial 16S ribosomal RNA
Rfam family: Bacterial small subunit ribosomal RNA
Source: RNAcentral